This is an RNA transcript of Ixodes scapularis (black-legged tick), 3317 nucleotides long. It is a transcript of the gene named zinc finger protein 79, with no coding region annotated. The record is from RefSeq and is a predicted model, not a curated record. The transcript is spliced from 8 exons. Lineage: Eukaryota; Metazoa; Arthropoda; Arachnida; Ixodida; Ixodidae.
ACAAAUGCCUAACACAUACAAUUUCUGCUUUAUCUAACAAAUAACGUUUACUUCGUAUCAACUAAGUUUUUUUUAUUUUUCUGCGCUUUGAGAAAUAAAAAAUUAAUUGACGUUCGAGCAAAAAUAACAUCGAUUUGAACUCUUCGGAAGAAACGAAACAAGACAAUCCAAUCCAGGUUCCGUGGCUUUGUUGGGUUUGUUCACUUUGUCAACUUCUUUUGAUUGCGGUGGAUGUCGUGAAUGCCCGUGGAUGUAUUUGAACGUUAUUGCGGCUUUCUUUAAGUGCGAUGUAGAACGUCGCUACCACAGAUCAACGAGAUCGAACGUACUCCUUCAAUGGGCUUCAGAUCCAGGGACAUGCGCCCGUCUUCAACUCACACUUGCGUUAGAUCGGCGCCAUAUGAACCCUUCGUGAGUUGUAGCGCGUUCACUUCAGAGUUAGCAACGAGCAGCUUGUGCACUGUGUGUAUCUCCUGAGAUUUGGACAGUCGUACUCCCACCGAGGGCAUCAUAGCGCCUACAAAGGUGCAAUGAGAAAGUGCUGCGUCUCAACGUGUGGCGCCUGUCAAUCCGACGGUGUGUCGCUCUUCAGCUUUCCCAGGAACCCUAGACUGAGGAGGAAAUGGAUUCGAAUGGUCAACAGGGAUCGCUCUAGUAUCUCCUGUUCCGCCGUGGUGUGUUCUAGACAUUUCCCAGAACAUCUUGUAGGGACGAAGGCCAGGCCGCGACUGAAAAGGGGCGCCUUUCCGACGCUGCAGCUCCAAGGAGCGCCGACCGCGAGUACCGGAAAAAAACGACCGCGCAGUCGUGCCGGGUCUGACAAUGCUCCUGCUAUUUCAGCUUGUGGGGCCUUUUCUUCUGAAGGUGCUGAUGAUCUGUCCUCUUCGCAUGACCAUCUACAUGUUGAAGAAGCAACCAUCACUGUGGUGAAGCAAGAGCCCGAGGAGAUACUUGAUACUCCAACCAGAGAAAGCUUGUGUUCCGAGGACUACAGUGGAGUGUCCACUACUCCGCUGCACUUGGAGGGAGAGGAAGACGGGGCUUGUGCGGUGAAAGAAGAGGUGGACCCCCUGUCUGCCGCUUCGACCUGCGGGGAUGGCUACCUCGAAGAUGCCGUCUGUCUCCACUUUUCCCCCGAAUUCCCGGAAAAAGGCGAGGCAGCUUCUCUCAGGGUGAAGGAAGAGGUGGACCCCCUGUCUGAUGCUUCGACCGGCGGGGAUGGCUACCUUGAAGAUGCCGUCUGUCUCCACUCUUCCCCCGAAUUCCCGGAAAAAGGCGAGACAGCUUUUCUCAGGGUGAAGGAAGAACCAGAUGAGUUUGCUCCUGCCCUUGGGAUGGAAGAUGAGGGCGAGACCUCUGAGGCCUUUGACACCAUGUCAUUUUUGCCAGUGCUGCCGGAGGGACAGCGGAGGGAUGGUUCCCUUCAUGUUAUUGAAGUGCCGGACGAGAUACUGCCCACUCCAACGGGCGGAGCUUUCCCUUCAGAGGACUGUGACAGAGUGUAUUGCUCUCAGCCGGACCUGGAAGGACACAACAAGAGCUGCGUCGUGAAGCAAGACGCAGACGAUGUGCCAGAGUGGAGCUCCGACUGUGGAGGAAGCCAUAGCUUGUCCUCUUCCCAAGAACGAUCUGACCAGGAAUGUCUGGACGAACAGGUGAAUCCAAGACAUGGCUGUUCUUUUGGAACCUGCUCCAGCAUCUCCACAAAGAAGAUCAUCGUGAUUGAAGGCACACAGACAGAAGAAGCGUCUAGGAAGCAUCGCUUAACUACUUGUGAAAGGAUUCUCACAGAUGAAAGGCCCUUUAAAUGCCUUGCGUGCCCUAAGGCUUUUCGGACUAAGUCUUCCUUGAAGGUUCACGAGAGAUAUCAUAGUGAUGAAAAGCCGUUUGAAUGCCCCUACUCUCCUAAAGCAUUUCAAACAAAACCAUGGUUGACGAAGCACAAGAUAUCUCACAGCGAUGAAAGGCCGUUUAAAUGCCCCAGCUGCCCUAAAGCAUUUAAAACAAAGUCACUCUUGACAAAGCACAAGCUAUCUCACAGUGAUGAAAGGCCGUUUAAAUGCCCCAGCUGCCCUAAAGCAUUUAAAAAAAAGGCAACCUUGACUGCGCACAAGCUAUUACACGGUGAUGAAAGGCCGUUUAAAUGCCCCAGCUGCCCUAAAGCAUUUAAAAAAAAGGCAACCUUGACUGCGCACAAGCUAUUACACGGUGAUGAAAGGCCGUUUAAAUGCCCCAGCUGCCCUAAAGCAUUUAAAGUCAGCUCACACUUGACGACUCACAAACUAGCUCAUAGCGAUGAAAAGCCGUUUGAAUGCCCCUACUGUCCUAAAGCAUUUCAAGCAAAACCAUGGUUGACGAAGCACAAGCUAUCUCACAGCGAUGAAAGACCGUUUAAAUGCCCCAGCUGUCCUAAAGCAUUUAAAACACAGACAAACUUGACUGUGCACAAGCUAUCUCACGAUGAUGAAAGGCCGUUUAAAUGCCCCACCUGCCUUAAAGCAUUUAAAAUCAGCUCAUACUUGACGACUCACAAGCUAUCUCAUAGCGAUGAAAGGCCGUUUAAAUGCCCCAGCUGCCCUAAAGCAUUUAAAAAAAAGGCAACCUUGGCUGUGCACAAGCUAUUACACAGUGAUGAAAGGCCGUUUAAAUGCCCAAGCUGCCCUAAAACGUUUCAAUUCAAGUCAACCGUGACUGCACACAAGCUAUUUCACAGUGAUGAAAGGCCAUUUAAAUGUCCCAGCUGUCCUAAAGCAUUUAAAAAUAAGUCAAACUUGAUGACUCACAAGUCAUCUCACAGCAAUGAAAGGCCGUUUAAAUGCCCCAGCUGCCCUAAAGCAUUUAAAAAUACGUCAAACUUGACGUCUCACAGCUUAUCUCACUGCGAUAAAAGACCGCUUAAAUGCCCCAGCUGCCCUAAAGCAUUUAAAUAUAGGUCAAACCUGACGUCUCACAAGCUAUUUCAUGGUGAUGAAAGACCUUUUAAAUACCCUAGCUGCCCUAAAGCAUUUAAAAAGAGUCAAGCGUGACUGCGCACUAGCUAUGUCACAGUGAUGAAAGGCCAUUUAAAUGCCCCAGCUGCCCUAAAGCAUUUAAAAAUAAGUCAAACUUAAGGACUCACAGGCUAUCUCACAGCGAUGAAAGGCCGUUUAAAUGCCCCAGCUGCCCUAAAGCCUUUAAGAGAAAGUCAUGCUUGAUGGAGCACAAGAUGUCCCAUAGUGAUAAAAGGCCGUUUAAAUGUCCGAAGUGCUCGCUGCACAAACGAGCAAGCUGCGCCAGCGUCGUUUGUGCAGCGAGCACUUCGGUGCUACCGUGUUUGC